Non-coding RNA from Sander lucioperca (pikeperch), 551 nucleotides. The record is from the annotation of a RefSeq genome assembly. Lineage: Eukaryota; Metazoa; Chordata; Actinopteri; Perciformes; Percidae.
AUUAGUGAGUCUAUCUAUCUGCUGUACUGUAGGGGGACCUCAAGGACCACAAAUACUCAGUUACACUUUUGAUCAGAAGCCACACAAUAUAUGACACUCCCACCUGCAACUCUUUAUCUCUGUGACUACACUGACAGUUUUCUGACUUUCUGAACAUGGACAACAUCAAACACGGUCUCAUCAGCUUGUUACUAUUUCUGCUCUGCAUAAACGGUCUUAUUGAUGGGAGUGAUGUCUCCCAGACUGACAUACUUUGGAAAGACCAGGGCGACAAUGCAACAAUGAACUGCAGUCACACCAAGGGUGCUGACUACUACCAGAUGUACUGGUACAGACAGCUGCCAGGAGAAACAAUGAAACUAAUAGUGUUCACAAGACUCGGCAACAACAAUCAUGAUUUUGGAGAUUUCAGCAAAGAGAAAUUCUCAGCCACCAAGCCUGACGCUGAGAGUGGGACAUUCACAGUGAAGAAUCUGGAGCCAGAAGAUAAAGGCUUGUAUUUCUGUGCUGUGAGUCAGCCCCACAGUGGCACAAUUAACCUGCAAGGCUGA